Molecule: transfer RNA, 66 nt
Filed under: Cautires sp. UPOL 000052
Lineage: Eukaryota; Metazoa; Arthropoda; Insecta; Coleoptera; Lycidae
Description: tRNA-Phe
Source: RNAcentral
AUAUUUUAAAACAAUAAUGCCUUCUUAAUAUCUUCAAUAUUAUACUUUAUAUAAGCUAUUAAAAUA